UACGGAGGAUGCAAGCGUUAUCCGGAAUGAUUGGGCGUAAAGGGCUCGUAGGUGGCCAACUAAGUCAGACGUGAAAUCCCUCGGCUUAACCGGGGAACUGCGUCUGAUACUGGAUGGCUUGAGUUUGGGAGAGGGACGCGGAAUUCCAGGUGUAGCGGUGAAAUGCGUAGAUAUCUGGAGGAACACCGGUGGCGAAGGCGGCGUCCUGGACCAACACUGACACUGAGGAGCGAAAGCCAGGGGAGCAAACGGG
This 253-nucleotide ribosomal RNA is filed under the name uncultured bacterium. Its description in RNAcentral is "partial 16S ribosomal RNA". It matches the Rfam family "Bacterial small subunit ribosomal RNA", at positions 524 to 776 of the family's 1533-position model. The record is from RNAcentral.